CCUACGGGUGGCAGCAGUGGGGAAUAUUGCACAAUGGGGGGAACCCUGAUGCAGCGACGCCGCGUGAGUGAAGAAGUAUUUCGGUACGUAAAGCUCUGUCAGCAGGGAAGAAGAAAGACGGUACCUGACCAAGAAGCCCCGGCUAACUACGUGCCAGCAGCCGCGGCAAUACGUAGGGGGCAAGCGUUAUCCGGAUUUACUGGGUGUAAAGGGAGCGUAGGCGGCAGGGCAAGUCUGGAGUGAAAGGCAUGGGCCCAACCCCUGGACAGCUCUGGAAACUGGCCGGCUGGAGUGCAGGAGAGGAGAGUGGAAUUCCUGGUGUAGCGGUGAAAUGCGUAGAUAUUAGGAGGAACACCAGUGGCGAAGGCGGCUUACUGGACUGUAACUGACGUUGAGGCUCGAAAGCGUGGGGAGCAAACAGGAUUAGAUACCCGAGUAGUC
This 441-nucleotide ribosomal RNA is filed under the name uncultured bacterium. Its description in RNAcentral is "partial 16S ribosomal RNA". It matches the Rfam family "Bacterial small subunit ribosomal RNA", at positions 338 to 795 of the family's 1533-position model. The record is from RNAcentral.